GAACCUUACCUGGGCUCGAAGUGCCGGUGACCAGCGGUGGAAACAUCGCCUUCCCGCAAGGGACACCGGUAGAGGUGCUGCAUGGCUGUCGUCAGCUCGUGCCGUGAGGUGUUGGGUUAAGUCCCGCAACGAGCGCGACCCCUACUCUUAGUUGCCACCCGCAAGGGGGAACUCUAAGAGGACUGCUCCGGAUAACGGAGAGGAAGGUGGGGAUGACGUCAAGUCAGCACGGCCUUUAUGUCCAGGGCUACACACGUGUUACAAUGCAUGGUACAAACCGUCGCGAACCCGCGAGGGGGAGCUAAUCGGAAAAAGCCGGCCUCAGUUCGGAUUGGAGUCUGCAACUCGACUCCAUGAAGCUGGAAUCGCUAGUAAUCGCGGAUCAGAACGCCGCGGUGAAUACGUUCCCGGGCCUUGUCACACCGA
This 426-nucleotide ribosomal RNA is filed under the name uncultured soil bacterium. RNAcentral describes it as "bacterial SSU rRNA". It matches the Rfam family "Bacterial small subunit ribosomal RNA", at positions 966 to 1393 of the family's 1533-position model. The record is from RNAcentral.